This is a small nuclear RNA of Onychomys torridus (southern grasshopper mouse), 156 nucleotides long. RefSeq annotates it as U1 spliceosomal RNA. The transcript has a single exon. Lineage: Eukaryota; Metazoa; Chordata; Mammalia; Rodentia; Cricetidae. The record is from RefSeq and is a predicted model, not a curated record.
AUACUUACCUGGCAGGGGAGACCACGAAGGUGGUUUUCCCAGGGCGAGGCUUAUCCAUUGCACUCUGGAUGUGCUGACCCCUGUAAUUUCCCCAAAUGGGGGAAACUUGACUGCAUAAUUUGUGUUAGUGGGGGACUGGGUUUCCGCUCUUCCCUG